AAGUCGUAACAAGGUUUCCGUAGGUGAACCUGCGGAAGGACCAUUAACGCGUAUCCAAACGUUAAAACCCCCCCCGUGAACCUUCAUCCUGCUCUUGUAACCCGCGUAGUUCGCAAUCUCUGAUAAAUCAUAGCCCGGAAAGUUGUAGUGAUUCAGAGACCUCUGGCUACGUGCGAACAUCGGAACAGUUACAAUCGAGCGGUAGCAGUCAGUGUCGGAAAGUGUCGUUGAUUGUGCAAGGAUAGCGCUUCUACGAUUCCUGUAGACCGUACACUCGGCAGGAGCUUUGCCAAAGGGUCCCCAUAUACAUUGGGUAAAAAAACCGAACAACUGUUAACAAUGGAUAUCUUGGUUCUCA
Molecule: unclassified non-coding RNA, 358 nt
Filed under: fungal sp.
Lineage: Eukaryota; Fungi
Description: partial internal transcribed spacer region
Rfam family: Eukaryotic small subunit ribosomal RNA (bases 1-46)
Source: RNAcentral